AGAGUUUGAUCAUGGCUCAGAUUGAACGCUGGCGGCAGGCCUAACACAUGCAAGUCGAGCGGUAGCACAGAGAGCUUGCUCUCGGGUGACGAGCGGCGGACGGGUGAGUAAUGUCUGGGAAACUGCCUGAUGGAGGGGGAUAACUACUGGAAACGGUAGCUAAUACCGCAUAAUGUCGCAAGACCAAAGUGGGGGACCUUCGGGCCUCAUGCCAUCAGAUGUGCCCAGAUGGGAUUAGCUAGUAGGUGGGGUAAUGGCUCACCUAGGCGACGAUCCCUAGCUGGUCUGAGAGGAUGACCAGCCACACUGGAACUGAGACACGGUCCAGACUCCUACGGGAGGCAGCAGUGGGGAAUAUUGCACAAUGGGCGCAAGCCUGAUGCAGCCAUGCCGCGUGUGUGAAGAAGGCCUUCGGGUUGUAAAGCACUUUCAGCGGGGAGGAAGGCGGUGAGGUUAAUAACCUCAUCGAUUGACGUUACCCGCAGAAGAAGCACCGGCUAACUCCGUGCCAGCAGCCGCGGUAAUACGGAGGGUGCAAGCGUUAAUCGGAAUUACUGGGCGUAAAGCGCACGCAGGCGGUCUGUCAAGUCGGAUGUGAAAUCCCCGGGCUCAACCUGGGAACUGCAUUCGAAACUGGCAGGCUAGAGUCUUGUAGAGGGGGGUAGAAUUCCAGGUGUAGCGGUGAAAUGCGUAGAGAUCUGGAGGAAUACCGGUGGCGAAGGCGGCCCCCUGGACAAAGACUGACGCUCAGGUGCGAAAGCGUGGGGAGCAAACAGGAUUAGAUACCCUGGUAGUCCACGCCGUAAACGAUGUCGAUUUGGAGGUUGUGCCCUUGAGGCGUGGCUUCCGGAGCUAACGCGUUAAAUCGACCGCCUGGGGAGUACGGCCGCAAGGUUAAAACUCAAAUGAAUUGACGGGGGCCCGCACAAGCGGUGGAGCAUGUGGUUUAAUUCGAUGCAACGCGAAGAACCUUACCUGGUCUUGACAUCCACAGAACUUUCCAGAGAUGGAUUGGUGCCUUCGGGAACUGUGAGACAGGUGCUGCAUGGCUGUCGUCAGCUCGUGUUGUGAAAUGUUGGGUUAAGUCCCGCAACGAGCGCAACCCUUAUCCUUUGUUGCCAGCGGUUAGGCCGGGAACUCAAAGGAGACUGCCAGUGAUAAACUGGAGGAAGGUGGGGAUGACGUCAAGUCAUCAUGGCCCUUACGACCAGGGCUACACACGUGCUACAAUGGCAUAUACAAAGAGAAGCGACCUCGCGAGAGCAAGCGGACCUCAUAAAGUAUGUCGUAGUCCGGAUUGGAGUCUGCAACUCGACUCCAUGAAGUCGGAAUCGCUAGUAAUCGUAGAUCAGAAUGCUACGGUGAAUACGUUCCCGGGCCUUGUACACACCGCCCGUCACACCAUGGGAGUGGGUUGCAAAAGAAGUAGGUAGCUUAACCUUCGGGAGGGCGCUUACCACUUUGUGAUUCAUGACUGGGGUGAAGUCGUAACAAGGUAACCGUAGGGGAACCUGCGGUUGGAUCACCU
Molecule: ribosomal RNA, 1528 nt
Filed under: Klebsiella pneumoniae
Lineage: Bacteria; Pseudomonadati; Pseudomonadota; Gammaproteobacteria; Enterobacterales; Enterobacteriaceae
Also listed under: 1 other name
Description: bacterial SSU rRNA
Rfam family: Bacterial small subunit ribosomal RNA
Source: RNAcentral